Molecule: ribosomal RNA, 427 nt
Filed under: uncultured prokaryote
Description: bacterial SSU rRNA
Rfam family: Bacterial small subunit ribosomal RNA
Source: RNAcentral
UGGGGAAUUUUGGACAAUGGGCGCAAGCCUGAUCCAGCCAUGCCGCGUGUCUGAAGAAGGCCUUCGGGUUGUAAAGGACUUUUGUCAGGGAGGAAAUCCCUAAGGUUAAUACCCUUGGGGGAUGACAGUACCUGAAGAAUAAGCACCGGCUAACUACGUGCCAGCAGCCGCGGUAAUACGUAGGGUGCAAGCGUUAAUCGGACUUACUGGGCGUAAAGCGUGCGCAGGCGGUUGUGUAAGUCUGAUGUGAAAGCCCCGGGCUCAACCUGGGAACUGCAUUGGAGACGGCACGGCUAGAGGGCGUCAGAGGGGGGUAGAAUUCCGCGUGUAGCAGUGAAAUGCGUAGAGAUGCGGAGGAAUACCGAUGGCGAAGGCAGCCCCCUGGGAUGACACUGACGCUCAUGCACGAAAGCGUGGGGAGCAAACA